Molecule: long non-coding RNA, 1224 nt
Filed under: Homo sapiens (human)
Lineage: Eukaryota; Metazoa; Chordata; Mammalia; Primates; Hominidae
Description: long independently transcribed non-coding RNA 3007, transcript variant 13 (LINC03007)
Source: RNAcentral
AGUUCUUCAGGGCUGUCUCUGUGAUCCAGGCUUUGAUCUGGGAAAGGUUGCGCCUCAUUGCAGAGUUGAAGCUAUCUGCCUGCUUUGUUUACACGAACGCCCUUCCAGGACUCUGUCUGCUUUUGGGGUGGAAGUGCCCUGCCAAAAACUCCAGCUCUCCAUGCUGGCUGUGUGGCCAGCAUACCUCCUGCCUUUUCAACGAUUCCUCUGCCCUGGAUAGAGAGCGGUGUCUCAUAACAGUUUGGAAACUACAAAAGUUUCCCUGGCAGGAUGAAUGAUUGACUCGGCAACAUGUUCUUGCCUUUUGGAGUUGCCCUCCAAUUUUUCCAGGCUUGAUUCUGUAAAUCAUUUCAUCUUGUAAAAAUACUGGGCUGUGAGCACGGAUGAUCUCAAAGAUGAGGAAACAGAAGCUGGGAUAUGUGAGUAAACAUUUCCAAGGUCCUGCAGCUAAUCAAUGGUUGACAACUUCUUUCCUCUGCCUAUGUUGCCAUCCAUGUCAUGGUUUGUGUCAAGACUCUAGGAGAAGUCUACCAUCAGCACCACAGCUACUGUGCACAAAUCCAGAAUGCCAGACUGAAGUCAGAAGGAAAGAGAUGAUGCAGCUCAUUGCUGAUGCUGAGAUCCAACGUCCAGUGCCUGAGUACCCCUGGAUUCUGAGCACUAGGGGCUGGACUGUGGAGACCAUCAGUUCAUAACAUCCUGUCCCUGCUCCCUGCUGUAGAUGACUGAGACCAGGGUUCUUAAACAAGGGAGAAGCACUCUCAUACCCCUAGAACAAGAUGAACAAAAGAAGGAGGAAAAAUCUUGACCUCCGUAAGAUCCAGGAUGGCACGUGCAAGGCACUGACACAGCAUCUGCCGGCAUCACUGACUCUCCUGGACCCCAGAAGCCCAGUUCCCCAGGCUCUGAAACCCUGCAGCAAUGAAAAGGAAGCACAGGCAAACCAUAAGGAAGAUAAUUUUUCUACUAAAAAAUAAAUAGAAAUGCAUCCUUAGAGGCAGGUUUCAUGAGGACACAGAGAAUCCGGUUUUGUGUGUGCCUGAUUUCGUUUUUCUGUCAAAGAGAUACAAAACAAUCAACUGAGUUAUCUUGAACUUACAAAGAUUAAAAAUAAUCAAUUCCUGUUACUAUUUUCAAUUUUUCCCCCAUUUUACUUCUUUAGGUAUGAAGAAAUGUAGCCUAUUAAAACCUGGAUUAAUAAAAACCUUUCAUUAACUUUUAGAA